UACGUAGGGUGCAAGCGUUAAUCGGAAUUACUGGGCGUAAAGGGUGCGCAGGUGGUUUUGUAAGUCAGAUGUGAAAUCCCCGGGCUUAACCUGGGAAUUGCGUUUGAAACUACAAGACUAGAGUGUGGCAGAGGGGGGUGGAAUUCCAUGUGUAGCAGUGAAAUGCGUAGAGAUAUGGAAGAACAUCGAUGGCGAAGGCAGCCCCCUGGGUUAACACUGACACUCAGGCACGAAAGCGUGGGGAGCAAAC
Molecule: ribosomal RNA, 250 nt
Filed under: uncultured bacterium
Lineage: Bacteria
Description: partial 16S ribosomal RNA
Rfam family: Bacterial small subunit ribosomal RNA
Source: RNAcentral